UACACACCGCCCGCCACGCCAUGGAAGUCUGCUGUACCGGAAGCCGGCAAACCAACCCGCAAGGGAGGUAGCCGCCCAUGGUAUGGCCGGUGACUGGGGCG
RNAcentral lists this ribosomal RNA (101 nucleotides) under uncultured bacterium. RNAcentral describes it as "partial 16S ribosomal RNA". It matches the Rfam family "Bacterial small subunit ribosomal RNA", at positions 1384 to 1482 of the family's 1533-position model. The record is from RNAcentral.